This 961-nucleotide ribosomal RNA is filed under the name uncultured organism. RNAcentral describes it as "partial 16S ribosomal RNA". It matches the Rfam family "Bacterial small subunit ribosomal RNA", at positions 470 to 1428 of the family's 1533-position model. The record is from RNAcentral.
UGACGGUACCCUACUAGAAAGGAGCCGCUAACUUCGUGCCAGAAGCGUCGGUAAUACGGGGGCUCCAAGCGUUAUCCGGUGUUAUUGGGCGUAAAGAGUCGUGUAGGUGGUUGGGUAAGUUAUCUUUCAAAUAUCUUUGCUUAACAAAGAGGAGGGGGAUAAUACUGCUCGACUAGAAUUUUCUCAAGGGAGAUCGGAACUGAGGGAGGAGUAGUGAAAUGCGUUGAUACCCUCGGGAACACCAGUGGCGUAGGCGGAUCUCUGGGAGAAGAUUGACACUGAGACACGAAAGCUAGGGGAGCGAAGCAGAUUAGAGACCUGCGUAGUCCUAGCCGUAAACGCAUGCUUGCUAGCUGCAUGAAUCUACCUUCGGGUGGUAUCGUGUGGCGAAGGUAACCCGUUAAGCAAGCCGCCUGGAAAGUACGGCCGCAAGGCUGAAAUUCAAAGGAAUUGGCGGGGAGGCACACAACCAGUGGAACAUGUGGUUUAAUUCGAGACUAACCGAAGAACCUCACCAGGGUUUGACAUGUAGCUGCACGUCUUAAGAAAUUAAGACUCUCUUGAAGGUGCUACACAGGUGCUGCAUGGCUGUCGUCAGCUCGUUCCGUGAGGAGUGCCCUUAAGUGGGACAACGAGCGCAACCCCUAUUACAUGUUAGAAAUGUCAUGUAAGACUGCCUUGCCAUUUGGCGGGGAGGAAGGAGGGGCAGACGUCAAGUCCGCAUGGUCCUUAUGCCCUGGGCUACACACAUGUUACAAUGAGUACGGCAAUGAGUCUGUCGCGAGCACGUAAGUGUAAGCUAAUCUCUUAAAUGUACUCUCAGUGGGGAUUGUGGUCUGCAACUCGACCUCAUGAACACGGAAUUGGUAGUAAUCGCGGGUCAGCUAUACCGCGGUGAAUACGUUCUUGCCUCUUGCACACACCGCCCGUCAAACCAGCAAAGUCGAUUGUAUCCGAACCU